UUUCACCGUGGACUGGCAGAUUUUACUCUCUGUUGGAUCCAACAUAUGCUAAGGAUCACAUCCCCAUCAUUGCAUCUGUCUCUGAGCAUCAGCCAACAGCUUGGUCAUCUUUCAUGUUUGAUUUCCACAUCCUACUUUUCCUUUUCCCUGCUGGUCUGUAUUUCUGCUUCAAGCGGCUGUCAGAUGCCACAAUAUUCAUUGUUAUGUAUGGCCUAACAAGCAUGUAUUUUGCUGGUGUCAUGGUUCGGUUAAUUCUUGUUGCUACACCUGCGGUAUGCUUAAUUAGCGCCAUUGCUGUUUCUGCCACUAUAAAGAAUUUGACUAUG
RNAcentral lists this long non-coding RNA (326 nucleotides) under Populus trichocarpa (black cottonwood). RNAcentral describes it as "long non-coding RNA (PTRI_LNC002869)". Lineage: Eukaryota; Viridiplantae; Streptophyta; Magnoliopsida; Malpighiales; Salicaceae. The record is from RNAcentral.